This 113-nucleotide ribosomal RNA is filed under the name Acanthosepion pharaonis. The record is from RNAcentral. Lineage: Eukaryota; Metazoa; Mollusca; Cephalopoda; Sepiida; Sepiidae.
UUACGGCCAUACUAUGUGGAAACGCCGGUUUUCUUACGAUCACCAAAGUUAAGCAACGUCGACCCUGUCUAGUACCUAUAUGGGUGUCCGCUUGGGAAACCAGAUGCUGUAAU